CAUGCAAGUCGAGGGGAAACGACAUCGAAAGCUUGCUUUUGAUGGGCGUCGACCGGCGCACGGGUGAGUAACGCGUAUCCAACCUGCCCACCACUUGGGGAUAACCUUGCGAAAGUAAGACUAAUACCCAAUGACGUCUCUAGAAGACAUCUGAAAGAGAUUAAAGAUUUAUCGGUGAUGGAUGGGGAUGCGUCUGAUUAGCUUGUUGGCGGGGUAACGGCCCACCAAGGCGACGAUCAGUAGGGGUUCUGAGAGGAAGGUCCCCCACAUUGGAACUGAGACACGGUCCAAACUCCUACGGGAGGCAGCAGUGAGGAAUAUUGGUCAAUGGACGAGAGUCUGAACCAGCCAAGUAGCGUGCAGGAUGACGGCCCUAUGGGUUGUAAACUGCUUUUAUAAGGGAAUAAAGUGAGUCUCGUGAGACUUUUUGCAUGUACCUUAUGAAUAAGGACCGGCUAAUUCCGUGCCAGCAGCCGCGGUAAUACGGAAGGUCCGGGCGUUAUCCGGAUUUAUUGGGUUUAAAGGGAGCGUAGGCCGGAGAUUAAGCGUGUUGUGAAAUGUAGACGCUCAACGUCUGCACUGCAGCGCGAACUGGUUUCCUUGAGUACGCACAAAGUGGGCGGAAUUCGUGGUGUAGCGGUGAAAUGCUUAGAUAUCACGAAGAACUCCGAUUGCGAAGGCAGCUCACUGGAGCGCAACUGACGCUGAAGCUCGAAAGUGCGGGUAUCGAACAGGAUUAGAUACCCUGGUAGUCCGCACGGUAAACGAUGGAUGCCCGCUGUUGGUCUGAAUAGGUCAGCGGCCAAGCGAAAGCAUUAAGCAUCCCACCUGGG
Molecule: ribosomal RNA, 833 nt
Filed under: uncultured bacterium
Lineage: Bacteria
Description: bacterial SSU rRNA
Rfam family: Bacterial small subunit ribosomal RNA
Source: RNAcentral